Molecule: ribosomal RNA, 497 nt
Filed under: uncultured bacterium
Lineage: Bacteria
Description: partial 16S ribosomal RNA
Rfam family: Bacterial small subunit ribosomal RNA
Source: RNAcentral
GAUGAACGCUGGCGGCGUGCCUAAUACAUGCAAGUCGAGCGGACGGACGAGAAGCUUGCUUCUCUGAUGUUAGCGGCGCACGGGUGAGUAACACGUGUAUAACCUACCUAUAAUUCUGGUAUAACUUCGGGAAACCGGAGCUAAUCCCGGAUGAUAUUUUGCACCGCAUGGUUCAAAAGUGAAAGACGGUCUUGCUGUCACUUAUAGAUGGAUCUGCGCUGCAUUGGCUAGUUGGUAAGGUAACGGCUUAUCAAGGCAACGAUGCAUAGCCGACCUGAGAGAGGGGUAGGCGACACGAGAACGGGGCCAGGGUCAUGAGUCCUACGAGAGGCACCAGUAGGGAACCGGCGGCAGUGGGCGGGAGCAUGGCGGAGCAACGCGGAGUGAGAGAUGAAGGUCUUCGGAGCGUAAAACUCUGUUAUGAGGGAUGAACAGAUGUGUAAGUAACUGUGCACAGCGUGACGGUACCUAAUCAGAAAGCCACGGCUAACUACGUG